Tribolium castaneum (red flour beetle) is the source of this 108-nucleotide non-coding RNA. RefSeq annotates it as microRNA mir-971b. The transcript has a single exon. Lineage: Eukaryota; Metazoa; Arthropoda; Insecta; Coleoptera; Tenebrionidae. The record is from RefSeq and is marked provisional.
AGCUUUGAGUGUGUAUAGUCGGGUCACUCUAAGUUUGAACACCAAGCUACAUUUAGCUCGUUUGGUGUUCUACCUUACAGUGAGCGGACUGUACACCAAAUCAUCACU